Molecule: long non-coding RNA, 1019 nt
Organism: Mesocricetus auratus (golden hamster)
Lineage: Eukaryota; Metazoa; Chordata; Mammalia; Rodentia; Cricetidae
Exons: 3
Source: RefSeq, a predicted model, not a curated record
UGUGAAUUCUCUUAUAAAUUUUGUCCCUUUUAACAUCCCCCCAAAUAUCUUAUGUCUUCUGAGACAUGAUAAGAUGCAAUACCCGGGGGAGGAGGCUUGAGAAGAAGCUACCAGAAAAGAAGAGGAGACUACAAUGAUCAGGGCGCCUUCCAUUCAACUCCAUAUUUUGGAUUUGAACUAAAAUCUCAAUGAGGAUACCAGAUUUGGACUUUCGAGAAACUAUAGAGUGCUAAGAUUAUGGUGCCUCUUGGAGAUGGACUACAUGUGUUUUGAAUUAAGAGAGGGGCAUUAGCAUUUUGGAUGACAGAGAAAAGAUUGUCAUCAUACAAACUGAAGUGCAAGCAAGACAACACCAUAUCCCCAAGAGUCAGACACAACAGGAUCAACCCAUCAAAGUGCUAUCUCCCAAAGGAAGCUCAGUUUCAGAGUAAACAGUAAGGAUGUAUGGUCCAGAGAAGCAUCUCAUGUGAAGUCACACUGACACAUCUCCUGAGAGACCUAAAGCCUGGGAGACUAGCUUUUUGAGUUCUUUGUAUAUUUUGGCGAUCAGCCCUCUGUACAAAGUGGGGUUGGUGAAGAUCUGUUCCCAUUCUGUGGGCUGCCAAACAGCUUCAGAUUGCACCUCCUUGCCUUCCUACCAGGGAUAUCUGGAUGUGAUGUCUACUGUCUGUAAUUCCAAAAAGAUCUCUGUGUGUUUCAGGCCAGCCUGAUCUACAUACCGAAUUUUAGACCAGCUAGGGCUAUAUAGUAAGACACUGCCUCAGACAUUUUUGAGUUUGUUAUAUACUUACAUUUAUAAAAUUCAUACGUUUAUAUGCAUGAUAAUGAUGGUUUUUAGCAUGUUUAUUCAUGAAAAAGACAGCUCUGUGAUUUUCUAUACUAUCCUUUUUCUGGUUUGAGCUUCAUGAAGUAUGCGUAUAUGUAAUAAAAACAUUAAAUGUUAUAUAUGUUGCAUAUAGCACACUCAUGAUUUUAUAUACAUAUGUGUUCCUAAAAUAAAGUUGUGUCUUGCCACUUUU